Molecule: ribosomal RNA, 587 nt
Filed under: Staphylococcus aureus
Lineage: Bacteria; Bacillati; Bacillota; Bacilli; Caryophanales; Staphylococcaceae
Description: partial 23S ribosomal RNA
Rfam family: Bacterial large subunit ribosomal RNA
Source: RNAcentral
CAGUAAAUGUGGAGCCGUAGCGAAAGCGAGUCUGAAUAGGGCGUUUAGUAUUUGGUCGUAGACCCGAAACCAGGUGAUCUACCCUUGGUCAGGUUGAAGUUCAGGUAACACUGAAUGGAGGACCGAACCGACUUACGUUGAAAAGUGAGCGGAUGAACUGAGGGUAGCGGAGAAAUUCCAAUCGAACCUGGAGAUAGCUGGUUCUCUCCGAAAUAGCUUUAGGGCUAGCCUCAAGUGAUGAUUAUUGGAGGUAGAGCACUGUUUGGACGAGGGGCCCCUCUCGGGUUACCGAAUUCAGACAAACUCCGAAUGCCAAUUAAUUUAACUUGGGAGUCAGAACAUGGGUGAUAAGGUCCGUGUUCGAAAGGGAAACAGCCCAGACCACCAGCUAAGGUCCCAAAAUAUAUGUUAAGUGGAAAAGGAUGUGGCGUUGCCCAGACAACUAGGAUGUUGGCUUAGAAGCAGCCAUCAUUUAAAGAGUGCGUAAUAGCUCACUAGUCGAGUGACACUGCGCCGAAAAUGUACCGGGGCUAAACAUAUUACCGAAGCUGUGGAUUGUCCUUUGGACAAUGGUAGGAGAGCGUUCU